Molecule: long non-coding RNA, 441 nt
Organism: Passer domesticus (house sparrow)
Lineage: Eukaryota; Metazoa; Chordata; Aves; Passeriformes; Passeridae
Exons: 2
Source: RefSeq, a predicted model, not a curated record
AGAUGCAGCCGGCACCACAAGACCUGUUCCCGAUGCCCAGGAUGGCCUCAGAAGGGGCUUCGAUAUGGGAACAGGCUGCUGGGCAGGGUUAAUGGCAGGCCUGCUUUUUUUGGCGUUUAUCUUCAUCUUAUGCUGGGUCCAAAUUCAUUAUUACUGGAAGAGAAAAUGGUGCUUCUGUGCAUCUUCAGCAGAUGGGCCUAAAAACACAGGCAGCGGGAACUUGAUAGUUUAUAACAGCUCUCCACUUCUGCCCAUAUCUGCCCUGCCGUGGCUGCAGCAGCGUCAUGAGGCCAUCCCAAAACCCAUCCUUCCACGAGACCCUCUUCCCCUGAGCCCCCUGGUCCUGUUCCCCGGCCAGGACUGAAGGUGGGCAUCCCCUGUCCGAGAGGGCAGGGCUUGGCCCAUAUUUCAUAUUUAAAUAAAAGAACAAAGUUUUCAUAA